AACAUGUUUGAGCCCUAUCUGUUCGAAGCAGCAGGGGAGGAUAGGGCGGAGCCGCCGGUGACCCCGGCGGUGGCUGUGGCAGCGCAGAGGGGGUCGGCGAGGAUGGCCUCUGGGGCGAGGAGGCGGAGCCGAUGACCCCGGCGGUGGCUGUGGCAGCGCAGAGGGGGUCGGCGAUGAUGGCCGAUGGGGCGAGGAGGCGGAGCCGAUGACCCCGGCGGCGGCGGCGGAGGGGUCCCAGGGGCUCGAGGACCAACGUCUGAUGCAGCCGUGGUUCCUCGCCGUCAAGAGCUAGAUCGAGCGCACGGCGGUGUAGCCGUCGAGAGGAAGAGGAAGAGCACCCUGCGCCGGUUCAGCCGUGGCGUCACGAAAAAGGCGGAGAGAAAGGGCACCGGUGGCCCCAUGAAGGUCGAGGAGGUCGCCGCCUCGUCGUGCAGCGCGCGAUGGUGGACCGAUGGGCGUCCAAGAGGCACUUGACCUUGCCGGAUCACGCUGCCGCUGGCGUAGUCCAGGCCGGAUCUGUGGAGAGCCCGGCGCAGCACCGUCUACAGAUUGAUAAGGGCCGGAGCUUCAAUGACGAAUCUACUAUUCAGCACACAGCCCAACUCGACAAGCACUAGCCAUGUCAACAGGCACUCAGGGGCAUGCUCGCCUCGGCAGUCAUCAAGGUGGCAAUAGAACACUUGAAUUCUACCAUUUUAGGCGAGAUCAAGCUGCACAGGAAUAUGAGGAACGAUAUGGAGAACAUGAAGAUGACGCUGGAGUCGGUGGACGCUGUGCUCCGCGACGCUGAGAGGGAGUCUAUCAAGCAUAGGUCCAUGCUUCUGUGGCUGAAGCAACUUAAGGAUGCCGCGAACGACAUCUCUCACAUGCUUGAAGAUUUUGAAGAUGAAACCGACCUCAACCUGGUAUUUGACAAUGUUGGCUCUUGGGCUGCCCAAUUGAUCACUGAAGCUGGUGGCAAGGUGGUCUCCAUCAGAGAUGUCACAGGGGCUGUGAAGAACUCUAAUGGCAUUGACAUAGCCAAGCUGAUGAAGCACUCGGCAGAGAACCGUGGGAUCAAGGGCUCCGACAAAAGGCGACGCCGUCGACCGACCUCGCUGCUCACGGAAGUGCGACGUGCUCAUCCCGGCAACUCUGGGAGGAGUCAUAAACAAGGACAAUGUUGAUGCCAUCAAAGCAAAGUACAUCAUCGAGGCUGCUAACCAGCCAACAGACUCCGAGGCCGAAGAGGCAAGAACACCAACAUUUUGGCACAAAACUAAGCUGCAUUUGCUGACACAUUUCACACAUUGACUGGCAGUAGAGAAGUGUACAUGUCCGCGCUGCAGAUUCUGGCAAAGAAGGGCGUGCUGAUCCUACCGGACAUCGUGGCCAACUCCGGCGGAGUGAUGGUGAGCUACUUCGAGUGGGUGCAGAACAUCCAGGGGUCCAUACUUGUAGACCUGAAUGACUAAGAUCGAUACUUGUCAUCUUGAACAACUAAGAUUGAAGUAGUGAGCCCGAACGAGUAGGACCGACAGUAGUAAACCCGAAUGACUAAGACCAAUACUUGUGGGCCCGAUGUCUAAGACCAAUACUUGUGAUUUUGGACAAUUAAUAUCAAAAGUAGUGUGCCUGAACGAAUAAGAUCAAUAGUGUCCGAUCACGCUAAUAAUAUCAUGGGUCGUCCAAAUCCAUAACUAGCACUAUGGGUCAUUUGGACUCACAACUAACACUAUAGUCGUUUGGCCCCCAACUAGCACUAUGGGUCACCUGAACCCAGAACUUAGCACUAUUUAUGAUCUUGAUCUAUAAGCAUCAUGAUUGGUUGUCCGGUCCCAUAACUAGCACUAGGUUCGUCUGAUCCCACAACUAGCACUAUGUGUUGUCCAAUCCCAUAAUUAUCAUAUGGGCCGUGUAAUGCGACUACUAGCACCAUGGUUCAUUUGAACCCAAAACUACCAGUAUGGGUAAUCUGAACCAGCAACUACCAUUAAAGACCGUCCUGAUACACAACUAUCACUACGGGUCGUGUGUGGUAAUCUA
This 2025-nucleotide ribosomal RNA is filed under the name Triticum aestivum (bread wheat). RNAcentral's name for it is "partial small subunit ribosomal RNA". Lineage: Eukaryota; Viridiplantae; Streptophyta; Magnoliopsida; Poales; Poaceae. The record is from RNAcentral.